This 253-nucleotide ribosomal RNA is filed under the name uncultured bacterium. RNAcentral describes it as "partial 16S ribosomal RNA". It matches the Rfam family "Bacterial small subunit ribosomal RNA", at positions 524 to 776 of the family's 1533-position model. The record is from RNAcentral.
UACAUAGGGUGCGAGCGUUAAUCGGAAUUACUGGGCGUAAAGCGCGCGUAGGCGGCUUUGCAAGUCGGGCGUGAAAUCCCCAGGCUUAACCUGGGAACUGCAUUCGAGACUGCAUUGCUAGAGUAUGGGAGAGGGAAGUGGAAUUUCCGGUGUAGCGGUGAAAUGCGUAGAUAUCGGAAGGAACAUCAGUGGCGAAAGCGACUUCCUGGACCAAUACUGACGCUCAUGUGCGAAAGCGUGGGGAGCAAACAGG